This 233-nucleotide long non-coding RNA is filed under the name Prunus persica (peach). Its description in RNAcentral is "long non-coding RNA (PPER_LNC006816)". The record is from RNAcentral. Lineage: Eukaryota; Viridiplantae; Streptophyta; Magnoliopsida; Rosales; Rosaceae.
UGAUCUAUUAAAAAUAAAUAAUUGGAAGUGCAAGAAAAAAAAUAUAUUAUGCAAAAAAAUAUAAACUAGUUUGAAAUGCAAGAAUAAAUUUGAUUAUGCAAGAAAAUAUAGACAAAUUGGAAAUGCAAAAAGUAAAAAAAAGAUUGUGCAAGAAAAAAAAAGUUACAUUAAAUUGAUUAAAAUGGCAAUUAUAAAUAUUUUACCUCAUCGGAUAGAUUUUGACCGCUUCGAAU